CAGCCUCCGACGAGAAACCGCAGACUUCGUGUACUUCCAGGCUACGGACCACGGCAUAUUACACUUACAUACUAUAUGUCUCUCCGGUGGACGAAGGGAAACAAGGGAGCCAAAAAGUGGGAGCGAGAUUUGGCAGUGUCGACGACAUGCAGAGUAUAUAGCUUUAACUAAGGAGUGUUAGAAAUUCCUGUUUGAAAUUGAAUAACGCUACAUGAUCUAUAUAUAUUUACUACAGCAAAUACACAUACGGUGAUAACAGAACGACUCUAACACGUUCAAAUGACCGAUGCGAAAACAGCCCGACACAAAUAACAUUUUAUAAAAAAAACAAUCACAUCUCACGUAUAUCUAAUUGUACUUCUCG
Phymastichus coffea is the source of this 364-nucleotide long non-coding RNA. RefSeq lists it as uncharacterized. The transcript is spliced from 4 exons. NCBI's taxonomy places the organism in Eukaryota, Metazoa, Arthropoda, Insecta, Hymenoptera, Eulophidae. The record is from RefSeq and is a predicted model, not a curated record.